AAUUUACGUAACCGUUAAGUGUUAAUACUAUAUUAAUUAACCACAAUAUUAAUUGUGUGAUUGAUAAAGUGUGUUUUGAACUUCUUUCUAACAUACAAAACAAUAUCAAAGAAAAUCAAGAAUAAAAUAAUUUCAAAAUUGAAAUCUAGUUCUUCCACAAGAAAAAUUGGAAAAGAAUAUAAUGACAACCAAAAUUAUCAACACAGCAGAAAAGAAGUUGUUGGGUAUAUAUAUUCAGGUGAAGCUUCGAAUGUUUCUAUGGCCACAAAUAUAUUAAAGGAAAGCACAAGAAAGUCGAUUAGUAAAUGAGCAGUGAUGAGAGAAUUAAGAAGUCAGAAUUAUAAUAUAUGCAAUAAAAAGAAAUAAAAAUCUAUGUUAUCUAAGAAGAAUGUAAAAGCAUGUUUAACAUUUUCAAAGAAGUACAAUUUGAAUUAAAUAAUGGAGAAGUAUAAUAUGGUCCAAUAAAACGAAAAUUAAUCUAAUAUCAUCAGAUAGCAAAGUAUAGUAUUGGAAGAGAAAAGGUGAAAAUCUGAAACAACACCAAUUCAAAGAAAUAUUAAAACAUGGCUAUGGCUCCAUUAUGAUAUGGGGAUAUGUGACGUCCUAUGGAAUAGGUGGAAGAUACAGAAUUGUUAGCACUAUGAACCUAUAUAUAGUAGCAGUCAUAAUUUUAAGUUGUCAAUUGUAAACAAAAUACAAAUUUUUCCAUAUUCACUUCUUUCAAACUCCUAGGAGGAGCGGCUAUUUGUAUAAGAUAAU
Molecule: long non-coding RNA, 759 nt
Organism: Vespula pensylvanica (western yellowjacket)
Lineage: Eukaryota; Metazoa; Arthropoda; Insecta; Hymenoptera; Vespidae
Exons: 3
Source: RefSeq, a predicted model, not a curated record